CGAGAGGCCCAUCCGCGCAACGAAAGCGAAUGGCGGGACGCUCUCCCGCAGGGGGCGGCGCCGCCGGCCGGACGUCCUCGAGGCGGACCGAGCCGGAGCGCUCGCGUCGGGACCCGAAAGGUGGUGAUCUAUCCGUGCGCGCGGCGAAGCCGGGGAAACCCCGGUGGAGGCCCGUCGACGGUACUGACGUGCAAAUCGUUCGUCCGACGUGCGAAUAGGGGCGAAAGACCAAUCGAACCUCCUAGUAGCUGGUUUCCGCCGAAAUUUCCCUCAGGAUAGCGGCCAUCGCGGAAACGUUUUGACCGGUAGAGCGAACGACUAGAGGUACCGGGGCCGUAACGGCCUCGACCUAUUCUCGAACUCCGAACGGGCAAGGAGCCGGGGUCGCCCGAUCGGACCCCGGACGUGAAGUCGACGAUGGUCGGUGGGCUGGUUUUGGUAAGCAGAACGGGCGAUUCGGGAUGAACCGGAAGCGGGGA
Molecule: ribosomal RNA, 479 nt
Filed under: uncultured eukaryote
Lineage: Eukaryota
Description: eukaryotic LSU rRNA
Rfam family: Eukaryotic large subunit ribosomal RNA
Source: RNAcentral